CCCUUAGAUGUUCUGGGCCGCACGCGCGCUACACUGAUACGUUCAACAAGUUCCUUGGCCGAAAGGUCUGGGUAAUCUUUGAAACCGUAUCGUGAUGGGGAUAGAACAUUGCAAUUAUUGUUCUUCAACGAGGAAUGCCUAGUAAGCGCGAGUCAUCAACUCGCGUUGAUUACGUCCCUGCCCUUUGUACACACCGCCCGUCGCUCCUACCGAUUGAACGUGCUGGUGAAGCGUUAGGACUGGCGCCGCGUGUCGGGUUCCCCUUCAACGGGGCGCCGGGAAUUUCGUUGAACCCUNCNGUUUAGNGGAAGGAGAANUCGUANCA
RNAcentral lists this ribosomal RNA (325 nucleotides) under uncultured eukaryote. Its description in RNAcentral is "partial 18S ribosomal RNA". It matches the Rfam family "Eukaryotic small subunit ribosomal RNA", at positions 1470 to 1796 of the family's 1831-position model. The record is from RNAcentral.